Molecule: RNA transcript, 1456 nt
Organism: Leptopilina heterotoma
Lineage: Eukaryota; Metazoa; Arthropoda; Insecta; Hymenoptera; Figitidae
Gene: Polr3H
Gene name: DNA-directed RNA polymerase III subunit RPC8
Exons: 7
Source: RefSeq, a predicted model, not a curated record
AACAUUGUAACAUAACCUCAAAAAAGUAAAAAAAAAAAAUACAAUGCGAUUGCACGUGUUUUUGCCGUUUAUUGACAAAAAGAAUGUGAUCGAAAUUUAUCACUUUUAAUAUUAAAUAAUACAAUUAUGUUUGUUCUUACCGAGUUUAAAGAUACUGUUAAAAUUCCACCGUGGAAUUUUAAGAAAAAAUUGAAUGAUUCCGUCACUGAUGAAUUAAAUAGAAAACUUGCUAACAAGGUUUUUCCUAACGUAGGCCUCUGUAUUGCUUUACACGAUAUCGAGAAGAUAGAGGAAUCCUACGUUUUUCCAGGAGAUGGUUCGUCUCACACAACAGUCACCUUUCGUUUUAUAGUGUUUCGACCAUUUAUGGAGGAAAUAUUGAUUGGAAAAAUUCGAAAUUGCAGCAUAGACGGAGUGCAUGUGACUCUGGGAUUUUUCGAGGAUAUUAUCAUCCCACCGAAUAAAUUACAGCAUCCAUCACGAUUUGACGAAACUGAACGCGUCUGGGUUUGGGAAUAUGAAGUUGAAGGAGGAGAUAAGCACGAUUUAUUUAUGGACGAACAUGAAAUUAUUCGAUUCAGAGUUUUUAGUGAAGUCUUCAAGGAAACUUCACCGUAUACCUUAAUGGGAGCUAUCGAUGAACCAGGACUAGGCUGUCUCACUUGGUGGGAAAACACUUGAUCAGGUUUUUAAAAAAGAAUUUCUAAUAAAUUAUUAAUUACGUCCUUAUAUUUAAGGAUUUUAAUUUAUUUACUUUGCAUUUUAUAUUUUAAAUUGUAUAGUAUUACGGUAAAUAACUAAGAGGUAGAGAGGGAGAGAAAAUAAAUAAAAUAAUAGAUAAUAUCGACAUUAUUUUGACGUCGUAAAAAUAUCCCAAGGAAAAAAACUUGUUUUUCUUUCGAAGUCGAAAACACUUCAAAACUAGUUUUAAUAAAUUUUCCAAUAAGUUAAAUAGGUGUGUGAAGUUUUCAGUAAACGUUUGCAAAUAGUUUAUUAACAAAAAUUCAACAUUACGUUCUUAACGUUGCAAUAAUCCAAAGAAAAGAAUUCAAAAGAUGGCAAUGAAGUACUCAACAAUUUUCUUGUUAGUAUUGUUUUUUAGUUUUUGUAACGAUUCCUUUGCCAUAAGUCCACCAAAAAAUUGUAAUGCAAAUAGUGAGUGCGCAGCCUACUUGACAUGCAUUAACAAUAAAUGUAUCAAUGCUUGCAUUAACACCUGUGCAACAAAUGCAAUCUGUCAAGUGAAAAAUCACAUUCCUAUCUGUACUUGUCAUUCAGGAUACCAAGGAGAUCCUUUCAUAAAAUGUAAAAAAAUUUAGAAAUUGGAAAACAAUUUUUAAAAAUCAAAAAAGUAAAAUCAAUUUUUUAUUGAUAUUCUUCAAACUUUUUCCUAUUUUUUCAACUCCAACGAUGGGAGAAUGAACAGGUUUUAAAUAAAUUCGAAAUAAAUCAUUAA